CCUACGGGUGGCAGCAGUGAGGAAUAUUGGUCAAUGGGCGUAAGCCUGAACCAGCCAAGUCGCGUGAGGGAUGAAGGUUCUAUGGAUCGUAAACCUCUUUUAUAAGGGAAUAAAGUGUGGGACGUGUCCUGUUUUGUAUGUACCUUAUGAAUAAGGAUCGGCUAACUCCGUGCCAGCAGCCGCGGUAAUACGGAGGAUCCGAGCGUUAUCCGGAUUUAUUGGGUGUAAAGGGGGAGUAGGCGGCCUUUUAAGUCAGCGGUGAAAGUCUGUGGCUCAACCAUAGAAUUGCCGUUGAAACUGGGAGGCUUGAGUAUGUUUGAGGCAGGCGGAAUGCGUGGUGUAGCGGUGAAAUGCUUAGAUAUCACGCAGAACCCCGAGUGCGAAGGAAGCCUGCCAAGCCAUGACUGACGCUGAUGCACGAAAGCGUGGGGAUCAAACAGGAUUAGAUACCCCUGUAGUC
RNAcentral lists this ribosomal RNA (460 nucleotides) under uncultured bacterium. Its description in RNAcentral is "partial 16S ribosomal RNA". It matches the Rfam family "Bacterial small subunit ribosomal RNA", at positions 338 to 795 of the family's 1533-position model. The record is from RNAcentral.